This 265-nucleotide ribosomal RNA is filed under the name uncultured bacterium. RNAcentral describes it as "partial 16S ribosomal RNA". It matches the Rfam family "Bacterial small subunit ribosomal RNA", at positions 793 to 1055 of the family's 1533-position model. The record is from RNAcentral.
GUCCACGCCGUAAACGAUGGGUACUAGGUGUUGAAGGUAUUGACCCCUUCAGUGCCGCAGUUAACGCAAUAAGUACCCCGCCUGGGGAGUACGGCCGCAAGGCUAAAACUCAAAGGAAUUGACGGGGGCCCGCACAAGCGGUGGAGCAUGUGGUUUAAUUCGACGCAACGCGAAGAACCUUACCCAGACUUGACAUCGAUAGAAUCCGCCAGAGAUGGUGGAGUGCCCUUCGGGGCCUAGAAGACAGGUGCUGCAUGGCUGUCGU